This is a small nucleolar RNA of Parambassis ranga (Indian glassy fish), 202 nucleotides long. Its record names the gene SNORA74. It matches the Rfam family "Small nucleolar RNA SNORA74". From Rfam's summary of the family: U19 belongs to the H/ACA class of snoRNAs. snoRNAs bind a number of proteins (including dyskerin, Gar1p and Nop10p in the case of the H/ACA class) to form snoRNP complexes. This class are thought to guide the sites of modification of uridines to pseudouridines by forming direct base pairing interactions with substrate RNAs. The record is from Ensembl. NCBI's taxonomy places the organism in Eukaryota, Metazoa, Chordata, Actinopteri, Ambassidae.
CCCAGCUCUAAGUCAGCUGACCAGGCGUUGUGUGUCUGGCUCAGUGUUACAGGGCUGGUAGAGAAUGUCUCUGUACUUUGUCUCAGCCACGCAGGUUCUGUUUUAGAGCCUGCUGCCGCUAAGCUGCUGCAGAGCGUGGCCCGACGAGAGUGGCCUGUCCUGAUCCAACGUGCAGGACGGGCCUAGUGCAGGGCUGCACACU